CCAAAAUAGGUAUACAUCACUCAUUCUGAGUCGCCAAAUACAUGAUACAGAAUACAAAUACAAACUUAAUUAUACAACUGUCGUACAAAAUACGACAACACAAUAGCUGAGAGUUUUAACACGAAUAUUGUCUUCUAGACAAUAUCCAAACUCAAAUUCAAUCUCAACAAUUAUUAUCAUACUAUUUCAUAGAAUAGUGAGGACUACUAAAACAACCAUCUGGACCAUCAAUUCAUUUCCCGACUAGUCCCAGCUACAUUCUCAUUUUCUGAAGAGAACAAUGAAAGAAAAAGGUGAGCUCAACUAACCUAGUAAGAAAUAUUAUGACUAAAAUAAUGCAGAAUAAAUUAUCCUUAACCUUCAACAGUAUAACAACUGAUAGAAUACAAUAGAUAACAAGUUUUAGAUCAACAACUGCAGCGGAAUAAGCAAUCCAUUAGAAGAGUCAAGUAGAACAUGAUAUUUACUAUAUUCUAUGAUUUAAAAGUUUAUCAUCAAUUUUAUCGCCGAGACUCAGUUUAAUAAAUAAUCCACAUCACUGAAUUAUCCAUGCACUACGGGCGAAAGAUAUUUAUUAGUAUCACGACCACGAAUUAUCCAUGCACUACGGGCCAAGGAUAUUUGUGUUUUCAUCAAUGGUCAUGAACAUGCCAAACAACAAUUCAUGUUUGCACCCUUGGCCGAAUAGAACGCAUGGUCAUGAUCAUACCAAUAACUGUCGCUAAGACUCAACUCAAUAAAUAAUCCAUAUCACUUGUAACAUUACAGAUCAUGAUUAUACCGAAUAAUCCCUAGUCAUAAUCAUACCCAUCAACAAUCCAUCUAUGCAUUACGGGCCAAAGAUGACUUUCAUCACAAUAUAAGCAUGAGGAUGAUGACAAUGAUAUAAAAAUUAAUCAAACGAGAUCAAGGAUAAAUAUUAAAGACUUUAAAUUUAUCCAAAGUUUAAAAACGUUCAAAUGGUCAACAUGAUACUACUUUGUGGAGUAAAAUUUAAGAAUAAUAUUCACGUAUCAAAAAUAAUUUUGAACAAAAAAGAUCAAUUUUUAGUCGUGAAUAGUACCCGGGUGAAUAGUAUCUCGUGAAUAGUACUUUGUGAAUAGUACCCGUACGUAUGAAUAGUGUCGUACGCAUGAAUAGUGCCGUAUAAAUGAAUAGUACCCAUAAAUAGUACUCCGGUAUGAAAAACUUAAAAAUGAACAAGAAUGUUCAGAAAAAUAGCUUUGUGAAACGAUACUAGAUGAAGCGCAAAUUUUAAGGAUAUUCUACUAAUUUCAAGGAGUAAAGAAGCAAAACUUAUCAACAUGAGUGUAGAAUUCGGAAUCUGAAACGAAAUAAUAUUACUUACAUAUUACAGAGUAUGGAAGAAAAUAUUAUUUCUUACGAAUAUUGAACAAAAAUAACAUCCCUUACAAUUGUCGAAAGAAAAAUAAUAUUCCUUACGAAUAUUGAACGAGGAUAAUAUUCCUUACGAAUAUUAAACGAAUAUAAUAUUUCUUGCGAAUAUUGAACGAGAUAAAAUUUCUUACGAAUACGAAAAAUAAUAUCGUAAGCGAAUAUGAAAUAAAUAAUACCCUUUACCUCAAAAAGAGAGCAAUUUUGAUUGGUAUAGCGGAUAUAUUCUUGAAGAAAAUUUUCACUAUUUUUUACAGUCAAAGUUUCCUUAAACUCUAAAGAAAUACGCUCAAUAUUAUAGAAGAAGAAUUCUGGUUUGAUUUUCAUUUCUAAAUUGAGCAUCCUAUUUAUAGGAGAAGGGAAUGAUACUAUUUGAAUUAGAAAAUCACUGACGCACAGUAAAAAUUCGGACGAUUUUCUGAAAAUUCAC
This 1825-nucleotide long non-coding RNA is filed under the name Panax ginseng (ginseng). RNAcentral describes it as "long non-coding RNA (PGIN_LNC001224)". The record is from RNAcentral. Lineage: Eukaryota; Viridiplantae; Streptophyta; Magnoliopsida; Apiales; Araliaceae.